Gallus gallus (chicken) is the source of this 9025-nucleotide long non-coding RNA. RefSeq lists it as uncharacterized. The record is from RefSeq and is a predicted model, not a curated record. The transcript is spliced from 5 exons. Lineage: Eukaryota; Metazoa; Chordata; Aves; Galliformes; Phasianidae.
AGAGCUUCUGUGAUUCAGAUAUGAGCAGGACCAUUGCAGCAGAGAGACUGGGAAGAGUGAGGAUCUCCUGGUUUCUAUUAAUCAGACUUACAAAUUAUAUUAAUAUGAAGAGAAGGCCUUUCAGUAGUAGAAGGAAGCUUAUGAACAGGAGGGAAGCCAACCUUAUUUACAGUCUGAUCAGAAGAAGAGCAUUGUGUCCUGAAGAGCAAUUUGAAAUGCAUAAAGAUUUUAUCAGUAAUGUGCACACAGCUCUGUCAUUGCUGCUGGAAGGAGAUCAGUAGGUGGAAGGGGUACAGGGAUCACCGUUACUGACAAGUGGGAAGAACUUUGGAGAUUUGCUUUUCUCCUGAUCUGCAUGUAAUGUUUAUGCUUCUGUUAGAAAUAUGAGAAGUACAGAUGAAGACUGAUGCUGAUGAAUGGAGCUAACUACCUGCUGCCAGUUUCACAGUAGUGUCUUCUUGCUAGAGAAUAUAGGAUAGCUGAUACUGUCACAGGAAAAAGUAAGCAAGGAGGUCAUGUUUUUUUGUAAUCCUACGCAAUUACAUGCUUUGUUUUUUUCAGGACUAACUUCUUACCUCUCGUCACAGCACUCAUGAUUAUUAUGGCCUUUAGAAAUUUACUUCUGGCAGGAGGACUUCGGAUUUGCAUGUCGUCAUAUAUUAAAAUUUUUCAGUAGUAAUCUUGUAUGUGCUUAUGACAUGCAUGAAUGAGCAAAAACAUUUGACUUGCAAUUGUUAUCCUUAAAUAAUUAUUUAGGGACAAAUAAGUGGCACAUCUUAUGUAAAGCAAAGAAUUUACAUUUAGUAUAAUUGAGAGUUUAAUCAUUAUCAUUCCAGAUCUAAUUAUUGCAAUGAUGAUAAUGAUAGUGAUGAUAAUGAUGACAAUAGUGAUGAUGAUGGUAAUGCAGUUAUUAUACACUCACUUUUUCAUUUCCUAUCUCUUUUGCUGGUGUUAUGCUCACUUUUCCUCAGUGCCUCUUGUUCUUAAGGCUGGUAGUUUUGUCCUGCUCAUGGUGGGGUGCUAUUUCUUCACUGGUAGGAAUAGGUUGUUCAUGUCUUAAUGUUUAUUUUUUUUAUUUCUUCCUUUAGGGUUCACCUGUGGUAAGUUUUCUAUGGUUACUUACAGGCUUUUUCAACUUUGUUCUUUCUUUAUCGGUCUGAAAAUGUGAUGUCUGACUUUAUUAUGGUGUCCACCGCAAAAUUCUUUGUUCUCUUAUCCCUAAAAUAAGGUUUGGGUUUUUUUUUUUUUUUUUUCUCCUUAUUCAGCUGUUUGUUUGUUUUCUGGGUCCAGUCAUUUAUUUAACUCGAUGAGUUAACAUUGAUGAAUUGUUCAUACCCAUUGAGUACCAGUGCCAGUCCUCUGGCCAGUCUUCUACCCCACUUCCUCUUCACCCAAUGCCUCUAUAGCAUGUACCAUGCCUCUACUCUUUCUAGCCUCUCCUAUUUUGCUAGAUCUUUAAUUCUGUACACAAUAUUAUUAUGCUAGAGUUGUAGAUAUCUAAUUCUACACAAAAUAUUGGCUUGUUACUGAUGUCUGUGCAACACUGUGGGUGUAUCUUAUGAAGAAAGCAAAAUUGCUCUCACCACUAAACCAAGUGAAACAAAGAAUUUUGGGCGGGAAAUCUAUCAUUGUUCAGUCCUGAAGAUUUUAAAUAGAACAUACAUGGACUGUUAUCAGCAAUGGCAAUAUUAUAUUACAAGGAUACACAGUUUCAAAAUGCCUGGAUUAUUGCAAUAAAGAAGCCUAUGAAAAUUGUUUCUUUUUCACCUCAAGGUAUGUCAGCAUUAACACCUCAGCCUUGAAGCUAGUUAUCUCCUGCAAUCCAGGAUUCUGGGGAGCAAGUAUCCCUACUGCAAGAUUUGUUGCCAAUGUUCUCUUGAAACAAUAAAAAAAUUCUCAUUUUUGAAACAAAUAAAAAAAUUCUUUUUUCAGAAAGACUAAUUUUUUUGGUUUUCUCUCUUUUCAUCUGCUCAGAACAAUAUUCAAAUUUACUACUUUGUUUAGGAAACUUUUUUAUUUUUACAAACUGUGGCCAGUGGGUUUUCUAUUUAUAGGAAUACAGCAAGCAAUGGUGCAUCAAAGGUCAUAGAUCUGCUCUUAAAAAAUGACAGUCUUUAAUGUCCGUAUAGUUUCCUACUUAUUUCGCACUGAAUCCUGCAGCAUCUUUUUUCUUAUUCAAUGAUUUUGAUACAACCUAGCUUAGAAUCCAAUUCUGUUUUGCAGAUGGACAAUGAAAAUUCAUCCUUUUUUCCUUCUCACCAAAUGAAAACUAUUUGGACAUCUAGUUCAAUUUCUAGAGCAGAAAGAAAUGUUUGUGAAGUGGCAGGAAUGAUUUAUGGAAGUCUAUUUUUACAGCUGGACUAUUCAUGCUUGAAUACGUUAUGUGUAGGAGUGGGCCUGCUGUGUCUGUGUUCUGUCAACGAAGAGCCUUGUUUCAAGAAUUCUCCACAAUGUUUGUAAAUGCAUAAGGCUUUUUUUCCUCAUAAUAAAUUAAAAGAACAAGAGUAUGCAUUUAUAUUUCUUGGUCACUUGCUCAUUUAAUUCCUAAGUGUACCUGAAAUGUGUUAUAUGGAUUUUUUACACUAUUCUUUGGGCAAUUCUGCACCACUGCUUGCCAGAGACUCUCUAUGAUAUUAAUACCUGCUUCAACAGGACUCAGCAAGUUAUACUCCACAUACAUAUGGCAUGACUGGGAGGAACUGGUGUGCAGAAGUAAGAAUGAACUACAAAAUAAUAUCUUAAUCUCAUACCCCAGGUGUAUGCUUUGAGGGAACUUUCAAACUGUUCAUCACUGUAAGUUCAAAGACUCAGUUUGUGCUUCUCAGCUUAUUUCAUCAGACCCUAUUAGAUGGUGGAAAGGAAAAAUAAAAAGCUGACAUGAAAGUAGCUUCAAGUUGCAUCUGCCACAUUAAAGAGAUUCUGUCAAAAUAGCAGUAAAACAGCAUUCAUCAGGAGAUAUGCUGGAUUUAUCCCGAUAAGGAUAACUUUCCUCUGCUUGUGGACAGGAUGACUAGCAAGGCACGCACACACAGAGGCAGUGAGAAUUAAUUAGUGCCAAGCCUCCAAGUAAACAGAAUUCUGCAAGAUUAGAUCUCAGAUUGGAACAGCUAGAGAUAUUUCUUGGUUGUGUGUUAAGCCAAGCAAACUGAGAUUUUGAAGCUCAGUACACAGGAUUUCUCAUUUGUUUAUAUUUCUUUUAAAAAAUGUUUUGGUACACACACAAAAAAAAUCUUCUUGUAAGGAUCAUUGGGGUUUUCGAAGUGCAACUGUAUUUAGCUUCAUUUCUUUGUCCUUUGAGAUACUUCCUAAAGUAUGCUGAUCUAUGAUAGAAGCUAAAUUAGUCCUGCAAAAAAAAUCUUUUAUGCCAUUCAUGUAUGUUAAAAGGAACCCCUUUUAUGCUUGUUUCUGUAACACUUUCUUGACACUGCUGAAUGGAACUAGUUACCCCCCAAAAAACAGUGUUUUAAAAGUUCCUUCCCUUUUUGUCAGUCUCUGGACAAAUUAUCUGAUUCUCUAAUGUAUAGGAGCAAGACCUGCUAAUAAGAAAGUCAAUGCAGCAUUUCUUGAUUGAUCAAAGUAUCCUGUGAAAUUUCAGUCCUGGCAAAACUGGACUAAGCUAAUUUAAGUAACUUACAAUCAACUGCAGUUUUCGCAACAAGAAGGGCUCCUUGUUAUUCCUAGCAUGGUACUGCUAAUACUUAAACUGAUUAUUUAUGUAUGAAAUGCUAAGAAUCCACAUUUUAGGGUUGCUGCCUUUAAAAUCUUUGAGCUCUAAAGACUUUCUUGGGAAUUGAACCAUGUUUCCAGUCUGCUGAUUUGCACAGAGGAAAGAUAGGAGCUUUGGAGUGUUUAAUGGAAUUGAGUUUCAAAAAUGGCAUUAAGUUUGUAUCACUAAACUUUUUAUUACCUGAAUCAGAAAUUAAAAACCAACAGUAAACAGGAGUACUGAUUUUUUUUACCUGAUUUUUAGGGAAAAUUGAAAAAAAAAAAAAACUUAGCUUUCACAGUGUUGCUUACAAGUUGUCCUGUACUUGCCCACAGGUCACUGUGAACCAUCUAACUUCAUCUUAAAACCUGACUAGUGCCUCAGAGCUGAACAAAAUUGGCUUUGCCAAGAAGCCUACAUGUCAUCUGGUCAAAGUCCAGUCAUAUUACACCUGGAAAUGUUUGACAUCUGCCUGUAUGUCUCCUAGUCAUGGCAGAAGCGUAUCAGUCUCAAAAUAAAAUCUACUAUACAUCACUGAUAAUUUGCAAAGUGCCUACAAGUGAAGCAGCAGGACAGGACUACAUAAGAGUUUCACUGUUUCACUACCUCAUUGAGGUAGACAUCAGUCCAAGUGGGCCAAGUGGAUUUGAGCUUUGAACAGAAGUACUUCACAUCUCAAGAAACAGUUGACGAUUGAUUCUGCAGUGCAGCAAACUGCUUGUGAAAAUGGUUUGAAAGGAUUUUUGCUCUUGUGUGAUGAGCCGAGGAAGUUUCCAGCCACUAGAGGAAUGGUGCUUGGAAAAUUUUUCUAAGAAGAUGAGUGGACUAAAAAGUUUAUCUUUUUUUGAGUUCUAUCCUUACACAAUAACAAUAAAAUUCAACUAUGUAGGUCACUCCAAAAAUAAUGCUUCCUAUAUUUUUGUGUGGAAACUACAAGAAAGAGUGGAAGAACACUAUUUUAUAGAGCAAGUUCUCAGCACAAAACAUGAUUUUUUCAACAUAGUUACGACCAUUAGCUAUGGUUUUUCACCAGCAAUGAACAAAACCCUGCAUACUAUACAGUUAAAAAUCUGCAGCAGUGCAAGUGACCCACUGCGUCACUGUGCUCACCUCCACUGUUUGGUUUCCAUAAACACUCAACAAGGGUCAGUAAAUGUUCAUGAGUGCCUUUUUUUUCCAUAUGGAGGAAUUAAACAACACACCUUUGCUUCAUAUAUACUUUCAUGUCAGACGCUGUUUUGUCAGACUGCCUCUCUGAUGGCACCUGUUACAUGGCAACAACAUGUGAUGGAAUACUGGUGGGAAAGUUCAAACUCUACUGCCAUGCCACCAACAUCUGCUUCUGACAUCAUGAGCCAACAUAAUAAAAUAGGAAGCAUUACUUUCUGAGCAGCCCUUGUAUAUUUCAAUAAAAACACUGUUUGAAACAUACUUUAUUUUGCAUAUCUGAUUUUGAAAAGUACUGUCUAUUCUAAUCACAAAGCAUACAAUGUCACCUUAGCCAUGUUAUUUAGUAUUUGUUUUUUGUUUGUUUGUUGUUUGAAAAUAGCAACACUGCUCUGUCUAUCAUCUGUUUUCUGAUAUGCUCAGAAGCAUAUUAGAAGUCUGCGGGCUUUAAUGACUGAUUUGUAAUAGUUUUGAUAUCAAAUUUUACUAAAUAACAAUUUGAAAUGAUUUGAAAUUUUGAAAAUAUUUGAAACUUCAUAGAGCUGUGUUUUGCACAUAGCUCAGCAGAAUUCUAUGGCUGUGAUGACCUGAUUCUCCCAGGUGUUUCAUGCUGCAGGGCAUUUUGGCAGGAUGGCUGCAUUUCACAUGGUUAAUUACCAUGAGCACAAUGGUAAGAUGCUGUUCCUCUUGAUGAAUAAAAUGUGGGCUCCCCAACAGCUAUUGUAACCGUGAUAAACAGGACAUGAUGCCCCUGAUAACUGGGGUAGGCAGGAGUGCCCGACAACCAUCUGCUACCAUGCUGUGGAGAGGAUAAAAACCCAAAGAAUUCUGAGGAAGAGCGGGUAACCCCUCCACUGAACUGCAGCCAUACUGGUCAACAAGGCAUCACUGCCUCCCUACAAAUCAACAAUUGUUGGAUCCAUGGUGGUGACUAUCCCUGCUCUGUAAACUGUUUGCUAGAAUUUUUCUCUUUACUAUCACUAAUUUCCCCACUUUCCCCACACCCCUGAGUUACUUAGAACUUGUAAUAAAUCAAUUGGACCUUUUUGCUGCCUUCAUCUUCCUGUGGGUAUAUGUACAUAUAUAGAUAUAUAUUGAACCAUCUCCUCCAAUAUUAGAGAAAGAUACCCAUAUUAACAUUUAGAGACUGAAAAAAGACCAAGCUGCUUUGAUUUCUUGCAUUAUCUUAAUUUUCACCAAAAUGGCUCACUUUCUUACAGAAACACCCAUUUCAACAAGGAGCAGAAGAAUUCAACUUCACUUUGGCUGUAGAUUGAAUUAUCUUAAAAGAUGGAGUGUUUUUUGCACAGACACAUCUGGGAUGAUGCUUCAUUUCUCUAGCUGUUUUUAUAUUACCAGUCUUUAAGAAAAGAAGACCCAACACAAUACAGAAUAUAUGAAAAUGAAUAGGCCCAUACAUUAUAAGAUAAAUAAACACUCUUCACUAAAGACCACAGCUGUUCUCAACUUAGAGCUAAAUCAGAGUAUCAAAUAAUAAGCAUUUUGCCUCAAAUCCAAUAUGGCAAAUAUUCUCUGCAACUCAGAGCAAUGUUAUUUGUCUUCUGCAUCGUUUCUGUCUAGCACUGACCUUCCUAGCAGAGAAACAUUGUAUUUCAGCAGCAGCUGUAGAAGUAUACAACUAUACCUAUGCCUAAUAAAGAUAGCAAAGUUCCAGUUUUCAUCCGUGCCUCACUUCUCAGUGUGCAAACUUCUCAGUGUACUUAGUGCUGCUGUGCCUCAUAGCAAGGCUGAAAUAGAAAACCAACUUUUUGUCAAAAUAAUCAAUACUUAAAGAACAAUGAGAAAACAAUAGCAACAAGAUCACUGACGCAGCGUUCAUGUUUUUGGUAAAUGCAUUUACCGAUAUCAUUUGAAUUUACCAGUCAAAUAUCAGUACUUUACUUGGCAAUUUGAAUGUUUUCAUAUACUAGCUUUUAAUCCAUACUGAUUAGCCAACCAGAUUUAAAAUUUCCUAAUUAAAUGAGAAGGGAAUGAUUUAGAUAGAAUUCUGAAAGCUGUUAAUAGUAGCUAGGAACUUGCAGAUAGGCACUGGGGUUGUCUGUGAGAGCUCAGAUACAGGACACUGAGUUGAAUGACCGUGUGCAGAACUUAACAGAACUUAGCUGGUACCACAGUUUAUCACACAUUCCUCUUUGUUCCUGUUAACAGUUUUAUAAUUUUUAUUAUUUGUAUUCCACAUCAUAACAGCAUGUAGUGCACUGUGAGCUAAAGGGUUAUUGCUCCGGUUUCAUGGAUUGUCAGUAUUUCCAGGGACAUGAUUCUCAGAAGAGAAGAACUACAUAUCCCAGAAGACUUCACUGCUCCAUUUCCAUUUCCAUUUAGAGGGAAAGACAGAACUGCUCAUAAGUCACAAAUGUUUUUUGGCCCAUCUCCCUUCCUUUCCCCUUUUUCCCUCUUCCCUGUUUCGCAGGGCAUGGGUCUAUGUGUCACGCUGCCCCAUAAGUCACAGAACUGGGCUGAACCAGCUCAUAAACCUUUGACAUUUAUUGGUGCACUGGCUGGAAAAAAUGCUUUUAGAAUUAACCAGAACCUCUCUGUACUCUCAGAUAGCUUCAGGGGAAAACUUAUCAGUGCUGCAGGACUUAUAGUGAAAACAAGACCUUAAUGUCCAAAUAGACCGCCAAUACUAUGGGAUAAUUUUAAACUUUGAGAGUGCUGCGCAAUUUUUUUUUUGUUUUUGUUUUUGGUACUAUGCCAACUUUCUUCUGUAAAGAGAAAGAACUAUAUUUGCUUUCUCUUGUAAAACUGUCUUGCAUGAGAUUGCAUUCCAUCAUUUUUCCUCUUUUAAUACUCAGAAUGUAGUGGGCAUUUAUUAAGUACCCCACUCUGAUUUAUGGAGCUAUAUGUACAAAUAAUAAAUUAAAAAUGCUGAUGCAAAUACCAGCAUGGUGUCUGCAUUCAAUCAGGCAUGAACUGGACAUUAAAAGGUAUGUACCAAAGGGAGUUGCUAAUUUUACAGAACGUGUGAUUUUUAAUCAGUCUUCCAGACUCUCCUUUGAAUCUAUUUUGCAUUUUUUGAAUGCUCACCUGAUGAUCAUGUUGUCAAGUCUCCCUGAGUGUACUCUUCGUCAUCUCGUAGGAUAUAAAGAACAUCCUCUGCACUGCUGCAGGAGAGAGGCCCCACUUGGAAUCUGUGGCAGAGAGCUUCAGGAGGGACCUGAGGCCAAGCCCUGGGAUUCUGCAGUCGAUCUUACAGGAGGUCCAUAGAGUACUACACUACAACUUAGAAGGAGAUAUUAGCUGUGUAUGAGGGGGUUCUGAAGUAACCAGUUUCUGAACUGGUUCUGAAGUAACCAGUUCUGAAAUGCAUCUCCUGUUAGCACCUUGACUGCUAGUGUUAAACUGGAUGUACAAAGGAAAGGUUCCCUCCACAUAUCAUUCUACUGAUGCCACUUGGAGUAAGUGGAUUGUGUUGGUUACACAAAAAGUGUCAGUCAUCCAGGAAUCUUAGAAGUGAUCAUGGACUGGCCUGAAGGUAAAAAGUUUGGAACAUCACCAGCAGAAGAGGUAUCACAUGCUAAAGAGGCCCCACCAUACAAUGAAUUACCAGAAAAUGAAAAGAAAUAUGCUCUGUUCACAGUUGGAUUGUGUCGUACCGUGGGGAAGCAUUGCAGAUGGAAAGCUGCUGUGUGGAGCCCCACAUGACAAGUUGCAGAGGUCACUGAAGGAAAAGGAGAAUCAAGCCAAUUUGCAGAGGUAAAGGUCAUCCAGCUGGCCUUAGAUGUUGCUGAAUGGGAGACAUGGCCAAUGCUUUAUCUUUAUACUGACUCAUGGAUAGUGGCAAAUGCCUGAUGGGAGUUGGUUACAGCAGUGGGAACAAAAUAACAUGCAACAAAGGGAUAAAUCUAUUUGGGCUGCUGAACUGUGGAAAGACAUUGCUGCCUGAAUAGAGAAUAUGGUUGCCAAGGUGUGUCACGUAGAUGCUCGUGUGACCAAGAGUUGGGUCUUUCCAGCUUCUGGAAGGGGCAAACAUCUUUGUGGAACAGUUUUUGCUCAGGGACCUGAGCACCCACUUGGCGGGUGAUGCAGAAAAAUGGGAAUGUUCAAUGUGUACCAGAAGGGAAUUUUAUGCUGUGGGAGUGCAGUCACUAAUUCCAUGUAUAUAUACCUAUAUAUAUAUGUAUGUUUGUU